Molecule: transfer RNA, 97 nt
Filed under: Rhexocercosporidium sp. MPI-PUGE-AT-0058
Lineage: Eukaryota; Fungi; Ascomycota; Leotiomycetes; Helotiales
Rfam family: tRNA
About the family: Transfer RNA (tRNA) molecules are approximately 80 nucleotides in length. Their secondary structure includes four short double-helical elements and three loops (D, anti-codon, and T loops). Further hydrogen bonds mediate the characteristic L-shaped molecular structure. tRNAs have two regions of fundamental functional importance: the anti-codon, which is responsible for specific mRNA codon recognition, and the 3' end, to which the tRNAs corresponding amino acid is attached (by aminoacyl-tRNA synthetases). tRNAs cope with the degeneracy of the genetic code in two manners: having more than one tRNA (with a specific anti-codon) for a particular amino acid; and 'wobble' base-pairing, i.e. permitting non-standard base-pairing at the 3rd anti-codon position.
Source: Rfam by way of RNAcentral
GCGUUUGUGGUUUAGUGGUAAAAUCCAUCGUUGCCAUUGAGCAUUAACUUGUUCAAUCAGAAUCGAUGGGCCCCGGGUUCGAUUCCCGGCGAACGCA